AUUGAACGCUGGCGGCAUGCCUUACACAUGCAAGUCGAACGGUAACAGGUCUUCGGAUGCUGACGAGUGGCGAACGGGUGAGUAAUACAUCGGAACGUGCCCGAUCGUGGGGGAUAACGAAGCGAAAGCUUUGCUAAUACCGCAUAAGAUCUACGGAUGAAAGCAGGGGACCGCAAGGCCUUGCGCGAACGGUGCGGCCGAUGGCAGAUUAGGUAGUUGGUGGGAUAAAAGCUUACCAAGCCGACGAUCCGUAGCUGGUCUGAGAGGACGACCGGCCACAAGGGGACUGAGACACGGCCCAGACUCCUACGGGAGGCAGCAGUGGGGAAUUUUGGACAAUGGGCGAAAGCCUGAUCCAGCCAUGCCGCGUGCAGGAUGAAGGCCUUCGGGUUGUAAACUGCUUUUGUACGGAACGAAAAGACUCUUUCUAAUAAAGAGGGUCCAUGACGGUACCGUAAGAAUAAGCACCGGCUAACUACGUGCCAGCCGCCGCAGUAA
RNAcentral lists this ribosomal RNA (498 nucleotides) under uncultured bacterium. Its description in RNAcentral is "partial 16S ribosomal RNA". It matches the Rfam family "Bacterial small subunit ribosomal RNA", at positions 30 to 523 of the family's 1533-position model. The record is from RNAcentral.